This 253-nucleotide ribosomal RNA is filed under the name uncultured bacterium. RNAcentral's name for it is "partial 16S ribosomal RNA". It matches the Rfam family "Bacterial small subunit ribosomal RNA", at positions 524 to 776 of the family's 1533-position model. The record is from RNAcentral.
UACGUAGGGGGCAAGCGUUGUCCGGAAUCAUUGGGCGUAAAGAGCGCGUAGGCGGUCCGGUAAGUCCGCUGUGAAAGUCAAGGGCUCAACCCUGGAAUGCCGGUGGAUACUGUCGGGCUCGAAUCCGGAAGAGGUGAGUGGAAUUCCUGGUGUAGCGGUGAAAUGCGCAGAUAUCAGGAAGAACACCCGUGGCUAAGGCGGCUCUCUAGUACGGUACUGACGCUGAGACGCGAAAGCGUGGGGAGCGAACAGG